GCUAAACGCGAAGAACCUUACCUGGUCUUGACAUGCACUGUGUCUCCCGUGAAAGCGGGAUAGGAUAGCAAUAUCCGCUUCGCACAGGUGCUGCAUGGCCGUCGUCAGCUCGUGUCGUGAGAUGUUGGGUUAAGUCCCGCAACGAGCGCAACCCUUGUGAACAGUUGCCAGCGGUUCGGCCGGGAACUCUGUUCAGACUGCCCAGAUCAACUGGGAGGAAGGUGGGGACGACGUCAGGUCAGUAUGGCCCUUACGCCCAGGGCUGCACACGUACUACAAUGCCCAGCACAAUGAGAACCGAUGCCGCGAGGUGGAGGAAAUCUGCAAAACUGGGCCCAGUUCGGAUUGGAGGCUGCAACUCGCCUCCAUGAAGUUGGAAUCGCUAGUAAUGCCGUAUCAUCUACGACGGCG
This 411-nucleotide ribosomal RNA is filed under the name uncultured bacterium. RNAcentral's name for it is "bacterial SSU rRNA". It matches the Rfam family "Bacterial small subunit ribosomal RNA", at positions 954 to 1362 of the family's 1533-position model. The record is from RNAcentral.